AAUGAGCACAGAUGCUAUGAUGUAAUAGGAAACAAAGAGAAAAAGAAGGUAUACAGUUGGGAUUUUGCCACAUGGAGAAAGGGUUUGAGUGUGACUACAUGGGGAAGAAGAAAGGAAUUUAAGCAACAAGUAACACAAGACAUUGAGGUGGGUAAGGGCACAGAUGUAUCCAGGAAAUGGCAAAGAUAACUGGAAUUCAUGAGGAACUAGGCUAGGGCAAGAUUUUGAAGAACCUCCCCUGUAAAGGAAAAUGUAAAGGAAAUUACAUUCAUCCUGCAGAAAAUCUGAGACAAAUACUUUCUAUUGUUAUACUACUAUGAUUCUCUUCUCGGAUGAUCUACGUUUAGAAAGAACACUGAUAAUAGCAAGUGGAUGAACUCAAUGUCAAAGUGUCUAGAGUCUGGGAGAGUAAUCUGAAGCCUUUGUAGGAGUCAAGGACCCAACUGGAAAAGAAGAAACAGAGUAAGAAUGAGCAAAGGACUGGGAGACAGAAGACUUCAGUUGGAAUUACACAUUCUUGAAAACUGACUUUCUCAGUUAUGUUCUCAUGAAAGAAACUAUGUGUCCAUUCAAAGAAUCAUGUGAAUGGAAUCUGUCUACUUCAAAUCCAUGCUACUAAAAUGGAGCUAAUAAGCGUUAUUUCCUCAGCUGUAACUGGGGAGGUUAAUACUUGUUAAAUCACUUGUCUGCUAUAAGGUUUGCUUGUAAACAAUGUGAAAUAAUGUUUUCAAAAUUAUUAAAAUGUUAUUUACAAGAGUGUGAUAUAAUAAAAUGUGAUUAUAUAAACA
Callithrix jacchus (white-tufted-ear marmoset) is the source of this 788-nucleotide long non-coding RNA. RefSeq lists it as uncharacterized. NCBI's taxonomy places the organism in Eukaryota, Metazoa, Chordata, Mammalia, Primates, Cebidae. The record is from RefSeq and is a predicted model, not a curated record.